UCUAAGGCUGAUGGCGACCGGCGCACGGGUGAGUAACACGUAUCCAACCUGCCUCAUACUCGGGGAUAGCCUUUCGAAAGAAAGAUUAAUAUCCGAUAGCAUAUAUUUCCCGCAUGGGUUUUAUAUUAAAGAAAUUCGGUAUGAGAUGGGGAUGCGUUCCAUUAGUUUGUUGGGGGGGUAACGGCCCACCAAGACUACGAUGGAUAGGGGUUCUGAGAGGAAGGUCCCCCACAUUGGAACUGAGACACGGUCCAA
RNAcentral lists this ribosomal RNA (255 nucleotides) under uncultured bacterium. RNAcentral's name for it is "partial 16S ribosomal RNA". It matches the Rfam family "Bacterial small subunit ribosomal RNA", at positions 78 to 334 of the family's 1533-position model. The record is from RNAcentral.